GUACACGCUGUGACUAGCAUAUCAAUAAGCGGAGGAAAAGAAACUAACAAGGAUUCCCCUAGUAACGGCGAGUGAAGCGGGAAGAGCUCAAAUUUGAAAUCUUAAAGGGUUUCCCUUUACGAAUUGUAGUUUAAAGAAGUGUUUUCUGUUGAGGUUUUGGUAAAAGUUCUUUGGAAUAGGACAUCAUAGAGGGUGAGAAUCCCGUAUUUGACCUUUACUUUCAACUUUGUGAUACACUUUCAAAGAGUCGGAUUGUUUGGGAAUGCAGUCCAAAAUGGGUGGUAAAUUUCAUCUAAAGCUAAAUAUUGGCGAGAGACCGAUAGCGAACAAGUACCGUGAGGGAAAGAUGAAAAGAACUUUGAAAAGAGAGUUAAACAGUACGUGAAAUUGUCAAAAGGGAAGCGUUUGACACCAGUGUUGUUUUUCUGAAAAUCAAUUAAAGAACUGUUUAUGCUAAGUUGUUUAGACUUUAUCAGCUAACUGUUUAGUUUUGAGCUUUUCUUUAAUGCACUUUUCAGUUAACAAGUCAACAUCAAUUUCUUUUGCUGUAAAAGAGCUUGAGGAAGGUGGCUUGAGAUUCGUCUUAAGUGUUUAUAGCCUCUUGCCUAUGCAGUCGGAGAGAUUGAGGUCUGCAGCGUAGAUCCUUCGGGGCUAAAUGCAUUUGUGCUAAGUUAUAACAUUUUAUAGACAACUUGUUGACUAUGAUUUGUCUUGUAGCUUACUCGCUUAUGUUAUUUUACCUACGCUUAGGAUGUUGACAGCAGUAUAGACUGU
This 774-nucleotide ribosomal RNA is filed under the name uncultured Neocallimastigales. RNAcentral's name for it is "partial large subunit ribosomal RNA". It matches the Rfam family "Eukaryotic large subunit ribosomal RNA", at positions 22 to 637 of the family's 3401-position model. Lineage: Eukaryota; Fungi; Neocallimastigomycota; Neocallimastigomycetes; Neocallimastigales. The record is from RNAcentral.